UACGAAGGGAGCUAGCGUUGUUCGGAAUCACUGGGCGUAAAGCGCACGUAGGCGGAUUUGGCAGUCAGGGGUGAAAUCCCGGGGCUCAACCUCGGAACUGCCUUUGAUACAGCAAGUCUUGAGUUCGAGAGAGGUGGGUGGAAUUCCUAGUGUAGAGGUGAAAUUCGUAGAUAUCGGGAGGAACACCAGUGGCGAAGGCGGCGAUCUGGGCUGAUACUGACGCUGAGGUGCGAAAGCGUGGGGAGCAAACAGG
Molecule: ribosomal RNA, 253 nt
Filed under: uncultured bacterium
Lineage: Bacteria
Description: partial 16S ribosomal RNA
Rfam family: Bacterial small subunit ribosomal RNA
Source: RNAcentral